This 72-nucleotide transfer RNA is filed under the name Bos taurus (domestic cattle). It matches the Rfam family "tRNA". Rfam says of the family: Transfer RNA (tRNA) molecules are approximately 80 nucleotides in length. Their secondary structure includes four short double-helical elements and three loops (D, anti-codon, and T loops). Lineage: Eukaryota; Metazoa; Chordata; Mammalia; Artiodactyla; Bovidae. The record is from Rfam by way of RNAcentral. RNAcentral also lists the same sequence under 2 other names.
UCCUCAUUAGUAUAGUGGUGAGUAUCCCCGACUGUCACACAGGAGACUGGGGUUCAAUUCCCCAAUCAGGAG